CCAGUUAUUCUUCCUCUUAUUUAUCCGGUCAGUGGUGAUGUGACGGAGAUGUGAUUUAAUGAAGGAACGUGGUGAGAGAGGGGAAUCAUUGACGACCGCAGUAGGGACAGCGCCAGGGCUGAAGGCCACAACCCCCAACCCCAAGUCCCUAAGAUUAGGACAGAAGACAAUGCAGGGAGUGGGGACUUUAGGAAGGGGCUUUGGGUGUGUGUGUGUGUGUGUGUGUGUGCGCGCGCGCAAAGGGCUCAGGUAAUGACCAACCUUGAGAGAGAUGCAGAGGGUUUGGACUCCCCAGACCUCCUUCAAGGGGUCUUGAUUGACUAAAUGUCACAAGGGAUCUCAAAUUCUCUCCUUUUAAAUACGGGCCGACAUCCAGCCUUUUUCUUGAAUUUUAAUUCCUAAUCGGCUCAUUGAUUAUCCUUGGCAGGGCUCUCAGCAUAUUUCCCAUUGGUGAUUAGCUGUCGACGCUAGGGGAUGGGCCUUAAAUGUGCCCCCUCCACGCGGGCUAGAUCACGUGGCUGGGGACUGUUAAGUGAAGCCAUGGGGGAGUGGGAAGGAUCAGGGCCGGGGUGGCGAAGGCAUGGCUUCAGGAGGCAACAGAGGAAGCCUGAAGGCGCACUUCGAGAGGGAGGGGCCAGCGUCCUUGAGGAAAGGGGCGGGGCUUCAGGGAAGAGGGCGUGGCCACUAGCCGUUAGAGAGCCUCCCAGGCUUUGCUCUAAGAGGCUGGGGAGGUGAGGGAGAGCAGGAGAAAGGCCAGACUGACAGCUGCUGGGGCAGUGAGAUGAGGGAGCUCCGUCAGAGUCUCCUGGAGGGCUUCUUACAACAGUUUUCUGAGCUACAACCGCAGAGAUUGAUUUAGUGGGUCUGAGGGAGAUUUAGCGGAAGCGGGAAAAGAUUGCAAGUUUUGAUUCUGCACUGUUGAACUAGAAGUCACUACUGAACUUCCAACCUCAAGACCUAUUCCAAGCCUUUCCCUGCUGCUAACAGCCACUCCAGGCACUUGAAAAAAUGUGUGAGGACUGUGGUGAGCCGGAAGACUCUGAGAGGCCCCCUAGGGACCACUUCGUGCUGUCACUCGUGGCCUACUUCCUGUGUUGCCCCUUAGGCGCUGCAGCUUUGUACUAUUCUAACCAGAAAAUAGAAGAGGAGGGACAAUUGCCCAACUCAACUUAUCAGGCCAGUAUUACUUUGAAACUAAAACCAGAUCAAGACAAUGUACAAACACUACAGACCAAUAUCGCUCACGAAUACAGACAGAAAACGUCUCAAUGAAAUAUUUAAAAACCAGAAACAGAAGGAUAUAAAUAGCAUACACCAUCACCAACUGGGGUUUCUCCCAAGAAUGCAAAGCUGGUUCAGCAUUAGAAAAGUAAUCAAGGUAAUCCACGAUAUUAACUGUCUAAAGAAGGAAAACCACACGAUCAAUUGAUGCAGAAAAGGCAUUUCAGAAAAUUCAACCUCCAUUCACUAUAAAAACUCAGCAAACCAGAACAGGGACCUUCCUCAUCCUGAUAAAGGGUAUUUACAGAAAACCCAUAGCUAACAUCAUAUGUAACGGUGAAGGAGGAAAGGCUUCCACCCCGAAAUCUGCAACAAGGCAAGGAUGUCCACUCUCACCACUCCUAUUCCAGGUCUGGAAGUCCUGAUCAGCACAAGAAGUCAGAAACAGAGAGAAACGGCAUACGGAUUACAAAGGAGGAAAGAAAAUCGCCCUUAUUGCCAGAUGGCAUGAUUGUCUUUGUGGAAAAUCCAAGGGAAUCAGCAAAAACACUCCUAGAAUUGACAAAAUGGGAUUAGAAAGAUCACAGGUUGCAAUAUGACACACAAAUCUAUGUAUUUCCAAUACACUAGCUAUACACAAUCAGAAACUAAUAUUUUUUAAAAUACUACCACUUUCAAUAGCUGCCCAAAAAUCAAGUUAUUGGAUGUAAAUCUCAAAUAAAUGUGUACGAGCUGUGUAAAUAAACUACAGCUGCUCAUGAAAGAAAUAAAAGAAGAAAUGAAUAAAUGUAGGAGAGUCUUCCCUGGUUGUGAACUGGAAGUAUCAGCAUCUCUGCAAAAAUGAUAUGAAAUUCAAAAGCAAUUCCUAUUGAGAGACCAACCAAACUUGUAGAUCUAGAAAAGCGUAGUCAUAACUAUUCUGAAAAAGAAGAAGAAAGUUGGAGUAGUCACAUUACCCAAUUUUCAGAAUCACGGUAAAGCUAAUGUAACCACACCAAACUGGGAUCCCUUACCUGAUGUGCUUAAGAGCCAAUUAUUACAGCAUCAGCUUUUGAAAAGGGAAUAGAGCUUUAUUAUGACAUUGAUCUGCAAGGUGACAGGAGGCAUCAGCUCUCAGAUCUGUCUGCCCAGCGAGGGCUUGGGGCAAAAUUUAUGGGAUGAAGGGCAGGACAGUCUGAAGUGUGGAGACAGACGACUACAGGUAAGCGGAAGUGAGGUAAUUGAUGAUCUGUGCAAGUGCAGUCCAGCUUCAGGGCUCUUCAUCCGACACAUGGUCACAAAACGGUGCUAUUAGCAUGAUCUGAGGGUGGAGUUUUCAGCCUCUUGACGUCAAAAGCUCAUUUAUCGGGCAUUUAUGCAGGCCCAGAUGAGGAGUUGGUGGUCUCAACCGGCUGGAACUGGACUAGGGGUCGUUUCUCAGUUUCUGAAAAACCACUCUUAAUUAUUCUGUUGAUACGAUGGGGUCAGUUGAAAUGGUCCUAGAGGGCCUGUGGUUACACCACAUUAGCAAGAGAGUGUGGUAUUGGCAAACGGGUAGACAGAGAUCAGCAGAAUGCAAUGAGUGCAGAAAGAGAUCAAAGAAAGAAUCAGGUGUUUGUAAUGGUGUCAGAUUAAUUGGACCGCCACAUGCAAAAAGUAACUGAUCUCAACUAAAACCUCACAUCUUAUACAAAUAUUAACUUAAAUGGAUCAUAGAUCUAAAGGUAAAAUGUAAAUCUAUCAAAUUUUUACAAGAAAACAUAGGAGAAAGUCUUCCUGACCCUGGGUUAUGCAAAGAGUUCUUAGAAAUUAUAUCAAAACCAUGCCCAUUAAAGGAAACUUAGACUCCAUCAAAAUUAAAAACUUUUGUCCUGCAAAUGACACUCUUAGAAAGUCAAAAGAUGGAUACAGACCCAGAGAAAAUAUUUGCAAAUCAUAUGUCUGACAAAGGACUUGUGUCUAAGAUACACAAACAACUCUCAAACUUAACUGUAAUGAAAACAACCCAAAUUUUAAAAUAGGCAAAAGAUGUGAACUGAGACUUUGCCGGAGGUAGACAGCAGGCAAACAAGCACAGGAAAAGAUAUUAAUUCUCACGAAGAUCACCCUCCACUGCUGAAGAACCUGACUCCAAGUAUUUCAAUGGCCACUUAAGAUGCCUGAAGCAACUCAGGACUCCUAAGCCCUCAUCACUCUCUCCCCUAGUGGUGCUUUUCCCCAAGGCACCCCCAGAACUGAUCAGUCACCUGAGAGAAGAGGAAAACUCCUUAGACCAAAAGGCAGCCAGGUAUUGGCUUCCCCACCCAUCCCACACAACCUCCAGCCAGCCAAUAGAAGUAGCAAGACAGAAUAGGAGGCGGGGCCUGCCUGGUCUCCAUGGUAAUCCCUGGCAGGUGGAAGUGAGGAAGAGGCUCAAUGCAGCCUUGGUAGCACUGGAUGCAGAUGUCUUAAUGGGGGUAUUGAACGGCAUUUUAAAAAAUGUGUGAGGACUGUUGUGAGCCUGAGGAGUCUGAGAGGCCCCCUAGGGACCACUUCGUGCUGUCACUCGUGGCCUACCUCCUGUGUUGCCCCUUAGGCACUGCGGCUUUGUACUAUUCUAGGCAGACAAUGCGCUACAACUAUAGGAAUGAACACGCCUUGGCAGUCAAGUCCUCAUGGAUGGCCUUCAGAUUAUCAAUUGCAUCAAUUAUUCUGGCAUGCAUCGGUACGGCCAGCAUCUGCUUGAUGCUCACAGUGGACACGUUAUCUCGGUAACCUGCUCUCCAGCUCAUGAACAAACCACCAAAUAUAUACAAAAGCAUUACUUACAUGGCUCAAAGUCUCCAUUUGGGCCCAGUGGGACACCAGUUCCUCAAUGUCUAGACUGCCAAGUGUUGCCAGCCUGGGCCAUCUCCUUGAGGUUGUUGAGGUGGGAAGGAAGUGUAGCUAUGGCCACCUAUUUGACCUGAGCUCAAGACCAACCCUUGGACCCUAGCAAGGGAUGGGGGCCAUAGGGGAGAGGGUAGGGCACUGUUGCCCCAGGGAAGCCUCCCCUCCUACCCACAUUCACGCAUUCAUGCCAUAUAUCUACUUAUGGCAACCACAAAGGGCCUUGAACAUGCUGCCUGACUCUGGGGACAUAGCAGUGACCACGUCAGAUCCAACCCCAUCCCCUCACAACUCACCAACCAGGUUUGCAGAUAGACACAUCAUCAAAUAGUGACAGUUCAGAGUGGUCCAAUCUCUAAGGGGAACCUAGGGAGGUGGGUUGUAAGAGGCCAGACCUGAUCUGGGGAACUCAGAUCUAACACAAAUCCAGGGAGUCAGGCAGCUGUCGGUGAACUGGUUAGAAUUGGCAUCAGGUUAUGACUGUAGAGACUUCCCUAACAGGUAUGGAUUGCCUCCUCUCCCAACUUUCCCCCCAAAUCUUGUCAUUCACUAAUCACUCAACAAAUACAUUCUGCACCUACAAUGUACCAGACACUGUACCAGGAACUAGGAAUGCAACAGAGCAACAUAAGAAGAUCUCUUUCUGAUGGAGCUUACAUUCUUGCAGAGAAUAAAACCAGAAACAAAUAGACCUCAAACACACAAGAUAAUUACAGGGAAUGGUAAAUGCUAUGGAGCAAAUAAAACAGGAUAAUAAGCUUAAGCAGUGCCAGUACAGGUCCACCAACCAUUAACAGUUUGCAACUCGAUAAGUGCAAAAAUUGCCAGUAAGUGCUUCCAAACCUACAGCAACUUGACAUUUUCGUGACAUUCAAGUAUACGAUCAGGAGCCCUUUCUAGUUGCACACAGUAUAGACCCAAAGGAUCAGUCCAUCACAGAUUGAAAAUAUGAAAAACAGUUUCUACUCCACAACGACAAUAGUUUCAGAAGCACUGCGCUAGUGGGCAACGACAUCUAGAAGGUAUAGUGGUUAGGAUCAUCCUCGCAGCUGUAACACAUAAACCCCACCAUGUCAAAGCUCAAUAGGAGAAGUUUAUUUCACAAUCACAGGACCUCCCAAUGUGGGCAUCAGCUGGCUCAAAUAUUGUGUCAGGGAUCGAGUCGUUUUCCAUUCGGUGAUUCCACCAUCUCCUAAAGGCUCAGGGUCCUUUGAAUCCAGGCAGAAGACAAGAGAGUGGAGAACCCCUGCUUGCUUCUUAAAAUGCUUGGCCUGAACAUGAACCUUGGACACUCUUGGUGGGAAUGUCAAUUUCAAUAGCCAUGAUGGAUAACAGUAUGGAGGUCCUCAAAAAAUUAAAAAUAGAACCACCAAAUGCUCAAGCAACCCACUUCUGGGUAUAUGUCCAAAGGAAUUAAAAUCACUGUUUCAACAAGAUCUCUGGACUCCUCCUUCAUUGCAGCAUUAUUCACAUUAGCCAAGAUAUGGAAACAACAGAAGUGUCCAUCAACAGAUGGAUGGAGAAAGAAGAUGUGGGAUAUAUGUACACAAAGGUAUAUUAUUAAGCCAUGAAUUUUAUGAAAUCCUGCCAUUUUUGCCAAUAUAGAUGAACCUUGAGGGCAUUAUGCUAAG
This is a long non-coding RNA of Equus caballus (horse), 5699 nucleotides long. RefSeq lists it as uncharacterized. Lineage: Eukaryota; Metazoa; Chordata; Mammalia; Perissodactyla; Equidae. The record is from RefSeq and is a predicted model, not a curated record.